This 493-nucleotide ribosomal RNA is filed under the name uncultured bacterium. RNAcentral describes it as "partial 16S ribosomal RNA". It matches the Rfam family "Bacterial small subunit ribosomal RNA", at positions 29 to 508 of the family's 1533-position model. The record is from RNAcentral.
AGUGAACGCUGGCGGUAGGCCUAACACAUGCAAGUCGAACGGCAGCACAGUAAGAGCUUGCUCUUACGGGUGGCGAGUGGCGUACGGGUGAGGAAUACAUCGGAAUCUACUUUUUCGUGGGGGAUAACGUAGGGAAACUUACGCUCAUACCGCAUACGACCUACGGGUGAAAGCAGGGGAUCUUCGGACCUUGCGCGAUUGAAUGAGCCGAUGUCGGAUUAGCUAGUGGGCGGGGUAAAGGCCCACCAAGGCGACGAUCCGUAGCUGGUCUGAGAGGAUGAUCAGCCACACUGGAACUGAGACACGGUCCAGACGCCUACGGGAGGCAGCAGUGGGGAAUAUUGGACAAUGGGCGCAAGCCUGAUCCAGCCAUACCGCGUGGGUGAAGAAGGCCUUCGGGUUGUAAAGCCCUUUUGUUGGGAAAGAAAAGCAGCAGGUUAAUACCCCGCUGUUCUGACGGUACCCAAAGAAUAAGCACCGGCUAACUUCGUGC